AGAGUUUGAUCAUGGCUCAGAGCGAACGCUGGCGGCGUGCUUAACACAUGCAAGUCGAACGCGCAACAUUCUGUAGCAAUACAGGGUGUGGGCGCGUGGCGAACGGGUGCGUAACACGUGGAUAACCUUCCUUGAGGUGGGGAAUAACCCAGUGAAAAUUGGGCUAAUACCGCAUAACAUCGCGAUGGCACAUGUUGUUG
RNAcentral lists this ribosomal RNA (200 nucleotides) under uncultured bacterium. Its description in RNAcentral is "partial 16S ribosomal RNA". It matches the Rfam family "Bacterial small subunit ribosomal RNA", at positions 8 to 197 of the family's 1533-position model. The record is from RNAcentral.